CCUACGGGAGGCAGCAGUAGGGAAUUUUCGUCAAUGGGCGCAAGCCUGAACGAGCGAUGCCGCGUGAGUGAAGACGGCCUUCGGGUCGUAAAGCUCUGUUGCGGGGGAAAAAAGGCAGCAUCCGGAAAUGGGUGCUGACUGAUGGUGCCCCGCCAGAAAGUCACGGCUAACUACGUCCCAGCAGCCGCGGUAAUACGUAGGUGGCGAGCGUUAUCCGGAAUGAUUGGGCGUAAAGGGUGCGCAGGCGGUCCUGCAAGUCUGGAGUGAAACGGAUGAGCUCAACUCAUGCAUGGCAUUGGAAACUGGAGGACUGGAGAGCAGGAGAGGGCGGUGGAACUCCAUGUGUAGCGGUAAAAUGCGUAGAUAUAUGGAAGAACACCAGUGGCGAAGGCGGCCGCCUGGCCUGUUGCUGACGCUGAGGCACGAAAGCGUGGGGAGCAAAUAGGAUUAGAUACCCGGGUAGUC
This 465-nucleotide ribosomal RNA is filed under the name uncultured bacterium. Its description in RNAcentral is "partial 16S ribosomal RNA". It matches the Rfam family "Bacterial small subunit ribosomal RNA", at positions 338 to 795 of the family's 1533-position model. The record is from RNAcentral.